AAAAGGGCAUAUGCGAUCACACAGAGACGGCGUUGCUGCGGCUUUGACCCUAUGGUGCACCCGACAGAACACAGAGGGUGAAGGGAGAGAUCCAGGAAGAGGUCGCGGAGCAGAACUUCCUUUCACUGAAGUUAAAAAGAUAAAAUGGAGCUGCUAGAAAUAGCAAAAGCCAGCCCAGCUAAAUCUUUAGGAAUAGCCAACCCUGACUUGCCAGAUGGUCUCAGAACUGUUCCUAUCCUUAAAGAAACAAACUGCAACAGCCGUACUAUAUGCCACAAAGUUCAAGGUAAGUACUUCAGGUGUAUCCAAACAAAACCUUCCAAAAGAUCUGGUUAAAAGUUUUUAUUUGAUUUAACUUCUAUACUUCUCAGAAAGGCUAACUAUAAUUUGCUAAAGUCAAAGUAGCAAGCAGAUUUGGAAAUAGUAAACAGGCUCUCACCCAUGAAAAUGGGAGGGGAAUGAACUUUACUUUUGGUGAGCCUGGAACUGUCCCUGAAAGUCCCACAUUCUAGGAAACUCCUGAGUGCAAAAAGUCCUGAUUUUCAGCAAUGAGUGAGGAAAGUUGGGGAUGGGAGGAAUACAAAAACUGUAUGGUGCCUCCCCCCACCCAAAAAGAGACUGAAGACAAGCCUUAAGUGAAUAUGGCGAUUGUCUGCCUUCUGUUAACCUCUGAAUUGGCAGCCAUGACUUGUGGUCCACAAUAAUGGAUCAUCCAUUGUUACAUCCUCUCAGAGCAAUUUUAAGUUCUAAGUAUGUACAGUGUAAGUCCUAAUCUUGAGUGUUAACAGUCUACUUAACUGUGUGCUUUGUAUGUAGAAAGACAGUAAACUUUGUGAAUUGUGACCAUGUUUUCUUAGAGUUCAGAUAAUGAAACUCAUGACAAGUAUAAUACCAACGCCAGUAUGACCUAGACAAUACCAAAAAAAAAAGGCUAAACGGCUAUGUUAUUUUAAUGACAGAUGGAAGGACAUAUACAGCUGGAUUAGGGAGGAACAGAAACCUCAGACAGCCCUGAGAGGAGGACAGCAGGAGCCAGUCUCACAAACGCAAUGACAGGGCCUUCCAAAAAGCCUUCUCCCAUGAGAACACUAGAUGCCGGCUGGGCACGGUGGUUCACGCCUGUAAUCCCAGCACUUUGGGAGACCCAGGCAGGCGGAUCACAAAGUCAGGAGUUCGAGACCAGCCUGGCCAACAUUGUGACACCUAGUCUCUACAAA
Long non-coding RNA from Piliocolobus tephrosceles (Ugandan red Colobus), 1217 nucleotides. RefSeq lists it as uncharacterized. The record is from RefSeq and is a predicted model, not a curated record. NCBI's taxonomy places the organism in Eukaryota, Metazoa, Chordata, Mammalia, Primates, Cercopithecidae. The transcript has 3 exons.